Molecule: long non-coding RNA, 558 nt
Organism: Jaculus jaculus (lesser Egyptian jerboa)
Lineage: Eukaryota; Metazoa; Chordata; Mammalia; Rodentia; Dipodidae
Exons: 3
Source: RefSeq, a predicted model, not a curated record
GCCCCGGCCCACGCCCACAGGCCGCUCGGAGGGCCGGCGCGGGCCGCAGAAUUGAGAAGAAAGUACUUCCACAAUCACGGCAGAUGAAGGUUCCCUGGUAGACCGAUCAGGAUUUGUGGCCUGAGCUCCGGAGACAAGCUCCAGUUCCCUCAGCUCAUAUCUUCUUCUUCCCAUACAAUGCAGACCAGCUGCACCUGACCAGGAAGAUCCUAAACACAGUUGUGAAACGGACUUGAGCUCUUUGGGCACAUUUUUCUAGGCCAAGGCCUUUGCCUGGUCUGCCAGGCAGCACUGUGCUCAUGUGCAGUUGAGACCUUUGUGACCCAGCUUGGUGGCCAGGGAAUAUCUCACUACAUGUUUACCCUAACGCAUUGAAUUUUGCCUUGAAAAGAAAAGUGCGGGGGCUGGAGAGAUGGCUUAGUGGUUAGGGCUCUUGCCUUCAAAGCCAAAGGACCCAGGUUUGAUUUCCCAGGACCCACGUAAGCCAGAUGCACAAGGGGGCGCUGGAGUUUAUUUCCAGCGGCUGCAGGCCCUGCUGUGACCAUAUUCCCUUUCUCC